CACAGCGGCGCCACCACCGCCUAAGCCGCCGCGGUGAAAAUCCUCACGCGCCACGCGCCAGCAUGCGGCGAAGCCAGAGCAAGCAAGCAGGCAGGAGGUGGCCGUGGGGGAUAGAGGUGAAGUUUCAAAUGUUUCACAGCGCCGUCGUCAUCCUCUCGUGUUCCUCUGCUUCCCGCCAGUGCCGCCCGCCUCACCUCGCCGCCGAUUCCGCCCCCGUCGAGCAACCACCGACCGAUUCCUCCCGCACACCGCGCCAUGACAACCUCCUGAGCAACCCCGACAGCUUCCCGUCCGACGAAAUCAACUCAAGCGCCGCCGACCUAUCCCUGUUCCGCCGCCCGCCAUCAACACCCCCACGAUUCGGAGCCGCUGGAGGUGGAGUACAUGGAGAUCCCGUCUGAGCUAGCUCAGGAAGGCGAGGACGUGAUCAUGGUGGAGCAUAGUCUCGAGGCUGCCCCAGAUCUCGUCGUCGAGACCCCUCACCCCGAGGAGCAGCAAGGCAAGCCCCGAUAUAUUAAUCUUAUUUAACCUUGCUAAUUUGAGCCCAAACUGUUGUAUUUCAUGAUUGUGCAUUAAGUCUAGGAGUUGAGUAGAGUCCUUUUAUGCAUUCCUCCCUUCCUUGUUUGAAGGACAUCUUUGCCACCUGUUCAAAAAGAUUAGAAGGUUAAGUCUAAUCUGGUAGUGCCGCAGAAGUCAAGUAAUUCUCUGUUACUUGCAUAAGGAUAACAUCUAAAAUUGAUUAGAGUGCAAAACAACUUGUUUAAUGAAGGACCAGACAGGACAUGGUUUCUUGUUAAAAGAUGUGGUUUCAUGUUGAUGUAUGAUGAUGGAAAGUUGGAAGUUUUGGUUAUGUCCAAAUAAUAGAUAUAAGGCCUGUUUGAUUGGUGGCCCUUUAGGUCAAGCUUUGAAUGCACUAAUCACAUGCUGGUAUGUAGGACCCGGUAAACUGACGUACUUCUAAGGUGUCGAAGUUUGAACCGUGACUCGCCAUGCUCGGCACGGACCGGUGGGUGGGGUCGUGAAAUGGCCUCUGCUGAAAAGAAGGUCGAUACGCGGGUCGAGGAGGACCGGGGCAUUCCCGAAGUAAUGGCUGUGCUUAUCGCAGAACUAUAAUCAGCAAAGAUAACAGUCCCUUUUUCUGGACUUCGUGUUAACAUGUUCCGGUGCAUACUGGGCCAAGUGAUCAAACUCAUUGGUGUAAUCCAGAAUGCUAUGGUCCCUUGCUACAGCCCUAGGAAUUGUUCCAGCUUCAUUCGCAUAAUUCCUUCUGGCACAAACUGUGUUCGGAAGGCUUCCUUGAAGU
Molecule: long non-coding RNA, 1303 nt
Organism: Setaria italica (foxtail millet)
Lineage: Eukaryota; Viridiplantae; Streptophyta; Magnoliopsida; Poales; Poaceae
Exons: 3
Source: RefSeq, a predicted model, not a curated record